Molecule: transfer RNA, 77 nt
Filed under: Candidatus Saccharimonadota bacterium
Lineage: Bacteria; Candidatus Saccharimonadota
Description: tRNA-His
Rfam family: tRNA
About the family: Transfer RNA (tRNA) molecules are approximately 80 nucleotides in length. Their secondary structure includes four short double-helical elements and three loops (D, anti-codon, and T loops). Further hydrogen bonds mediate the characteristic L-shaped molecular structure. tRNAs have two regions of fundamental functional importance: the anti-codon, which is responsible for specific mRNA codon recognition, and the 3' end, to which the tRNAs corresponding amino acid is attached (by aminoacyl-tRNA synthetases). tRNAs cope with the degeneracy of the genetic code in two manners: having more than one tRNA (with a specific anti-codon) for a particular amino acid; and 'wobble' base-pairing, i.e. permitting non-standard base-pairing at the 3rd anti-codon position.
Source: RNAcentral
GUGCCUGUAGCUCAGCUGGUUAGAGCGGCGGUUUGUGGUACCGUAGGUCGUGGGUUCAAGUCCCAUCAGGCACCCCA